RNAcentral lists this ribosomal RNA (738 nucleotides) under Hippoglossoides platessoides (American plaice). RNAcentral's name for it is "partial 12S ribosomal RNA". It matches the Rfam family "Bacterial small subunit ribosomal RNA", at positions 337 to 1460 of the family's 1533-position model. Lineage: Eukaryota; Metazoa; Chordata; Actinopteri; Pleuronectiformes; Pleuronectidae. The record is from RNAcentral.
CUCAAGGGACCUCAGCAGUGAUAAAUAUUAAGCCAUAAGUGAAAACUUGACUUAGUUAAGGUUAAGAGGGCCGGUAAAACUCGUGCCAGCCACCGCGGUUAUACGAGAGGCCCAAGUUGACAAACAACGGCGUAAAGAGUGGUUAGGGGAUUUACUAAACUAGAGCCGAACGCUUUCAAAGCUGUUAUACGCACCCGAAAGUAUGAAACCCAAUUACGAAAGUAGCUCUACUUAUCCUGAACCCACGAAAGCUAAGGAACAAACUGGGAUUAGAUACCCCACUAUGCUUAGCCCUAAACAUCGAUUGCACAAUACACUCCAUAUCCGCCCGGGGAUUAUGAACGUCAGUUUAAAACCCAAAGGACUUGGCGGUGCUUAACAUCCACCUAGAGGAGCCUGUUCUAGAACCGAUAACCCCCGUUAAACCUCACCCUCUCUUGUUUUAUCCGCCUAUAUACCACCGUCGUCAGCUUACCCUGUGAAGGAUUUACAGUAAGCAAAAUUGGCACAGCCCAAAACGUCAGGUCGAGGUGUAGUGAAUGAGGGGGGAAGAAAUGGGCUACAUUUGCUAAACAUAGCAAACACGAAUGUUGCAUUGAAACAUGCAGCUGAAGGAGGAUUUAGCAGUAAGCAGGAAAUAGAGCGUCCCGCUGAAACUGGCCCUAAAGCGCGCACACACCGCCCGUCACCCUCCCCAAGCAUCCUGAAUAAACCUAAUUAAAAGCCAACAGACCGCGA